Molecule: long non-coding RNA, 3132 nt
Filed under: Homo sapiens (human)
Lineage: Eukaryota; Metazoa; Chordata; Mammalia; Primates; Hominidae
Description: HSALNT0295163
Source: RNAcentral
GGCUGUGCACCAAGUGCGCUGUGUCCAACGACCUCACCCAGCAGGAGAUACAGACCCUGGAGGUGAGGAAACCGAAGGCCUGAGGGAGAAAUGACUUGCCAGGAACCCCUGUUAAGGAAAAUUAACAAAGUGUGGUUAUUAAAGAAGAACUGAGUUGGGAGUCAGACCUGGAGGCCCGCACCCGUGGUUAAGACAUUAUACCACCUUGAGUCUGGCCUGUUGACUGAGGAUUCUUUUCAAUAUACCCCAUCAUGGUUGAACUCAAAAAUCAUUGCUUAUUUAAAAUCUACAACUGCUGACGUUUUGUAACGUUCGCAUUCCAGAUACAACAGAGAAAUGCAUAAUGUCCAGUCAAUUUAUUAAAGUUCCAAAGUCGGUCGCGCGCAGUGGCUCACGCCUGUAAUCUCAACACUUCGGGAGGCCGAGGCGUGUGGAUCACGAGAUUUCAAUAUGAUUAAAGCAGGAGUGAGGACACAGCGAAAGUGAGACAAGGAAAAGAGAACAAAAUAAAACAGGAAAGACAGAAAAGCCAAUACCACACGUGUUAAGAGUUUCAAGGAAAAUAUGUUUGGAGUUCCUGGCAUAGAGAAUGUCACAAAGACAUGUUUUCAAUAGUAGUGCUAUCCCGAGCGCAGAGAAGACCCAAAGAAAGCCCAAGUGGCUGCUGGAACAAAAUCAGACACCGUGCCACCUGUCCACACUCCUUGGCUCUGCCAUCAUGCUGAAGAUCGCUUUAAAGGACUGGCUUCCCUCCCCCCAAAAUUAAAAGAGCACAGACUGAGAAACUGAAUGUGGGAGACAGCAGUGGAUUAUGCUGUUCUCAGGGGUCACCUCAGGUUUGGAAGCAUUCUUUCAAAUUAACCCAUCUCAGGCCAUCUGCAGAGAAGAAAGGUGGUACCUAACUUUUUUUCUUGUCGGCAUUUGGUAGGGGUGUUUUAUUGACCAAAUAUGUUCCCACAACCUCGUUUUUUGUGACUAACUAAAUAUAGUAGAGUUUUAAAUUUUAUCAUCAAAAUCUAUAGACAAUUUUUGAUGAAAAUAGACUCCAUCUCUAUGUCCUGCUUUUCUUCUUCUUAUUAAUUACAUUGCUGUAUAAAAGAACAAGACUUCAGCAUCAAGAAUAUCUUGUCUCUUGGCAUUGAAUUUAUACAAGGUGCUCUUUCUUUAAUGCUGUCUCAAAGGACAUAUUUUUACUCAUUAAAAAGGAAGAUCGGAAUCUAGUUGUAUGCACUGCUCCAACAUAUUAAUAAUUAAAAUUAGGAGGUAAAUGUGGUCAAAGCUAUAGAAAGACUGAGAUGUCAUUUACAUCGAUUACUCUAUAGCACUCUACAAACAGAAAUUGUUAAAUAAUAGUUUAUAUAAAUAUUUUGUAGCAUUUCAAAUAUUUGAGUGCUUGAAGUUUCUCCUCUUUUAUAGUUCAGAUUAUCAAUUUGAAGACUUACUCCGCUAGUUAAUAUGUUUUUAGUCUCGUUUGAGUAUUAUAUAAAAGCAAUUUUCAGUUAAAUGUGUUCCGCUUACAUAAAACGUUACAAAUUAUUGAGGAUUUAAUUACUUAUUCAUGUUCCUGUAAUGUCUUUAGAAGAUUUUCUUAUUAUUACCUAUCAAUAUAUGUAUGCUUUGUCAAAGAAAAAUCAAACAUAUAUAUCAUUGAAAUUGAAACUUUUUAAAAGUACUUAUUAAUUCUAUUGAAAAACCACAUCCAUAGGAACAAUUACAAUAUAAUAUUGUGAACAUGUAAACAUAUACCCUAUGUCUAUUUUAUGUAUAAGCAUGUAUGAUUAAAAAUAUAGUGAAGAAUUUUUAAACCUAGUAUUAUAAAGUAAAAAUUAGUUAACUUCCGAUGAUUAUUUGUUAAUUAAGAUAAAAUUAUUUUGAUUUGGGUGAUUUUAAAUAAAGAAAAAUAUUAAAUUACAUGACAAAAAUUCUUUAUAAAAUGUUUAUGAUUUUUACAUUGGUUUUAUCACUUUUCCCACUAUUUUAUUUUAAGAUGACCUGCCUUGUUUAAAACACUGUAUUCAUCUUAGUUAAAUUAGAUUCCAUUUGUAAAAUAAUUAACAAAUGAUUUGCUCUAUUGUACAGUGCGGUUAUAAACUGAGUCAGUAUCUCAAGAUUUGAUCCCCAUUAUCAUCAUCUGUGGCCCUAUUUGUUUUAUAAAUGUAUUGUCUUUUUCCAUGCCUGUCACAUCUCUAUUGCUCUUUCAUUUUUCUCUUUGUCCCUUAUAGGGAGCAUUGCCUAUCUCUAGAUUAAGCAAAAGUUGCAUCAUAAAAAAGCACAAUAACCUGCUCAAUCUUUCUCACACAGAGAAAUGUUUGUUAAGUAAUUAAAGUGUAGAUGAUGAUACAAAGAGCUUGAUUAAAUUAGAUGCCAAAGUACCCUUGUGAUUCAGAAUAUGAAUGGUAUUUAAUUUCUUUGAAAUCAUUAAUUGCUGAGUGAGAUUAAUUAAUGCCAAUAUUCCAGAAGAUGUUCCAGUCAGUAAAAUGUAUACAACGUGCAAAAGAUUCAGAACUCUGAAGGGCAACAUUAUUCUAUAAUUAAGAAUUAAGAAUUAAUUCACAUUAAUUACUGGGGAGAAAUACUUUUUAAGAAUUAAUGACUGAGAAAAUGUUUUUAUUUUUUAUUUAGAAAAUUAUUUUGUGCAUGAGCAUUACCGCAAGUUUUGCAAGAAACAUAAAUUUAAAGAAACAAUUAUGUGCACAAGAUGAAUUUAAUAACAUCUUGAUAUAUUCCACGAUUGCGGUUUUAUUUGGUAAAUCUUUCAAGGCACACCAUUUAAAGAGAAUAAAUGAGUCUUGGAAAUCUUGUAGGUAAGGGUAAAUAUUAGGAUGCAUCCAGUUACAUUUACACACACAUACAGUUACAUUUACACACACAUACACGCAUACAGACUGAGUCACGUGUGUGUAUAUAUAUAUAUGAAUUUACCAAUUGAUGUUAACUAAUAUUUAUAAGAGCCAGUUGGAUUGAUAUAUAUUGUUGAACCUGAAAAAUAUUUAUUAUAUACAUGUUUAAAAUACAGAAAUAAAUAGCAAUUGCACUAGGCAUUUGAAACUGUACUAAAAUAUAAGCUGUGAACAUUUUGUGAUCAUUACAAAUUCUUACACUGAAUAAAUAUUUUUAUUUUUACAAUAUUAA